CCAACGGAUCCACCAGCAAUGGUCAGGGGAGUGGACGAUGGAGAGCUAGAAGCUCUUUAUUAAAAUUUUUCAAUUAUUUUUUCAUUCGCAGUCUGAUUUUUAUUACAAAAUUAAAAUAACUAUAACUUUAAUUUUCAAGACCGUACGACAGAUAUGAGCUCCCAAUCUAUCCCUGAGGACUCGAUCGCACCAACAGAUGAUGAGAUCUGUGAUCGGGUACACAAUAUGAGAUCCUGUUAUGUUAGGGAUCUAGGAUAUGGGAUCACUACUCUCUCA
Molecule: long non-coding RNA, 276 nt
Filed under: Elaeis guineensis (African oil palm)
Lineage: Eukaryota; Viridiplantae; Streptophyta; Magnoliopsida; Arecales; Arecaceae
Description: long non-coding RNA (EGUI_LNC075792)
Source: RNAcentral